RNAcentral lists this long non-coding RNA (4305 nucleotides) under Cricetulus griseus (Chinese hamster). RNAcentral describes it as "lncRNA (ENSCGRG00015029994.1)". Lineage: Eukaryota; Metazoa; Chordata; Mammalia; Rodentia; Cricetidae. The record is from RNAcentral.
ACUUCAUACAGUGAUAGAUGGAAAAAACAGAAAGCUUUGUACCAGGGUCCAUGAGCACAAAUGAAGACAGUCCUUCAGCAGACAGAGUUUGGUGAACCAACUCAAUUUUAUUCCAGAAUACGAGGAAUAUAUAGGAUUGGGGAGUCAGAGGACAAGCCCUAAUUUACAUUAAGAGGCACACUCCUAUCACAAGGGUUAGUAUGUGGCAGUUGGAUGCUAUUGCAGAGCUCCUAGUUCAAGUCUUCUUAACAGGGAUCUGUGCCAAGAAUCAAGCUAAAGAUGAAUCAGGCAUCUGGUUUUAGAGUCAGGCUCUGGUUUAGGGACAGCUUUCAGAUAAGGUCAGUCCUCCAGGCUCAGGGAAAUUCCCCAGAUAAGGCUAGGUAAAGAGCAGGAAGCUUUUCUAGGGAGGGAGGGAGCUCCAUGUGGCUGAGCUUAUUGAGAUAAGCUACUAGGCCAUGGAAAGCCUGAAACCUCUGACCAGCUGGCAAUGUCUUCCAAUACAUGUUACCAAGAUUCUGUUUGAGACACUCUUGGCCAUACCCCAGGAAUAAUUAAAGAGAAUCCAAGUGGUUUCCAGAACUCAUGUCCAACAGUUCCCAACUACCUGUAAUUCCAGCUCAGGUGUCUCAUGCCAGCAGGAUCAGUGGCAGUUCAAGCUGGCGGAUCUUGGUAGCCCUGCUCUUCAUUUAACUGGCAGUGGAGAAAAGCACAGCAAACAUGGAAGACAGGGAAGGCAGCAGAGCAAUGGUGCAGGUCGGUUGGUCUGAAGAAAAGUGAAAACAGCAUGUGCUACAGCCUUCCCUGCCUUAUGAGUGGAAUCAGUUUCCGGAGAACCCCAAAAAGGGUGUCACUGGUGUUGGGGAAUAAAGAUUGAGUGCUUUUAAUUUGAAAUCAGAAAUCCGCAGCUGUUUACAGUUCAAGUUACGACACGGAUUGUGGCCUCGUGCAUCUCUGCACAUGGAAAAAGUGAAUGCAGACUGGAAUGGUGAUUUCAUCAGGAAACGGUACACAGCCCUCCACUAUUCAUCAUGCUGCAGCCACCGUGAUAAGGUGGGACACCGCGUUGAGGGCUCACAUUCAAAUGGUGAAGACAGAUAACAAACAGCAGCAUAAAAGUUACCAAAGGAAUUACAAAUCGAGGUAAGGGCAAGGAAGGAAACAAACAAGAAGCUGCGGUACAGGCUCCAUAAAACGUGGUAGCUUGACUCUUCUCUGAGAGAGGGGAUGGCUGGGGCCAACCUGCUCCUGCGACCCAUUUGGUGGGUUAAGCGAGGCAGAACCAUCAAGGCACCUGGCACGGAGUUUCUAGGUGGUGGAGACCGGAUUCGAUUCUACAGCCCCGACUGCAGCCUUCUUUCUUGAAAAUGCUGACAGUCAUUUCCAGUCAAGUCAGAGGAAAGAGAAGAGCACACCGGAAGCCCCUGGUGAGAAAAACAUUGAAUCUAGCAUGGAAAAGAGCCGCGUAAAGAAGCUCAGUGACAGAAGGGUCAGCUGCCCACAGUCACAGCUAGAGUCGGUCCCAUCCUAACUGCCUUUGGGAAUAUGGUCAGGAGGCUUGAGUUUCUUUCUAAGAGCGGUGAGACCACAGGUGCAUUUCUGACAAGGUCUAGACUUGGUCUCAAACGUUUAAAAGAAGGUACCUCUGAUUGCAGUGUGGAGAAUGCACCACAAGCAGGAAAAUCAGUAAGGAGACCAGCAGGGGAGGGGAUACAGUUUUUGAUGAUGAGAUGGAGGAGAGAUUUGAACACAUUUUGGAGGCAGAAUGAAUAGCACUGUAUAGGACAAUGUGUUUGCCAACCUCAAGGAGGUGAUAGGAGGCCGGCACACCACAUGACACUGGGAUGCAGGCUUUUCUUAGAAGUGUGUUAACUCCAAAAGAGUAGUUCUUCUUAGGAGGCAGUUGCUGAGUGAAUUAGAAACAAAAGGGAAGAAAGGAAAACCUCGGUGUGUCUUAUUUCUUCAGCACAACAAAGCGGCUGGUGGGUGGUUGAAAAUUCUUUCUGGGGUAAUAUCUAUCACCUCAGAUGAGAGCACAGAGUUCAGGGAAGGUGAGUGACUAGCCACAAUGCAAACAUAAAUGCACUUUUCCUUUACCUAACACAUUGACUUCUACUAAGGAAAGAUGAAUUUGACAGCUAAGUCAAUUUCCCACCAAGCCUGUGACUCCAGAGUCCUUCGUUAUAGGCUGAGUAUUUUUAAAAUUUCUUAUUCCUUUAAUUAGUGAAAGACCCCUGCCCCUUAGCCCUCUCUUUCUCAAGUUUGCCUCCUCCUCCGGUCCGCGGCUGGUGGGGCGCGGGGAGGAUGCCUCCACUCCUGCGCCUUCCCGAUCACCACCCCCGCAGGCCUCCACUUCCCCCGCCGCCGCACGCCCGGCCGGCCACCGGUUCCCUCCAAAGCUGGUCCACCCUGGCGGGGCCCCGCGCCCCCUGCCCGCCCGCCUGGCACCGCGCCCCGGGGCUGGGGCCGAGCGAGGAGCCCGCGAGGAGGCCCGAGGGCGAGCAACAGGUGGGCCGGCACGAGGGCGAGCAUCAGGUGAGCCGGCCUGGGGCCCCGCCCCCGCGCCCCCGCCCGAUGGGGAACACUCCGUCCCAAGGUCUCCGCCCCCAAGGUAAGCCAUCUGGAUGCAGAGGGGGGAAUUGAGUCUGUUGUACCAGACACCAGACCUUGAGAAUAUGCUGGUCUGGAAUGGCUCUGUGCCUCAUUUGAACCAUCCAAUAGAAAUGACUCUGUAUUUCACCUCAUUUGAAUGACUCUAUACUUCGCCUCAUUUGAAUAACCCUGAGUAGCACCUCAUUUACAUUGACCAAUGGGAAUAGCUCUGUACUGCGCCUCAUUUGAAUUAUCCAAUAGAAUCCCUGCUUCUCGUUUGCGCUUUUUGCUAUAUAAGGACCCCUCUCCCUUGGCUUGUCGCGAUUGGCCUCACAGAAGCUAAGUCGCCCCGGGUACCCGUGUAUCCAAUAAAGCCUCUUGCUAUUUGCAUCCAAGUUCGUGGUCUCGCUGAUUCUUGGGUACGGGUCUCCUUCUACAAAAGUACCUCUUCGGGGGUCUUUCAUUAGGAAUGAUUUUCUCUAAGAUGUUAAAAAAUUUCUCAUUUUAAAUACUUGAAAUGAUGUUCAUCUAUGUUUUGCCUUGAGGUUUUUUGUUUUAUUUUUCCUUUCUUUCAUUCUGUAUGUCCUACUUCUUGCUUCCUCCACGUCUGGCCAGCUGGCUCCUAGCAUCGCUCUGUUGCCCUCUUUUCUUUCUUCUUUGAGCCUAAAUUCCUCCUCCUACUUACUCUUCUCAAAAUUCUGCCUAUACCUCUUCCCUAUUGACCAUUCAGGUUUUCAUUAGCUCAAUCUUUUGCCUUAGGCAGGCAAGGUGAAACAGCAAUACAUCUUUACAUAAUUAAACAAAUACAGCAAUCUUUACAUCAUCAAACAAAUAUUCCACAGCAUAAGCAAAUCCAAUAUAUCUUUACAUAGUUAUACAUUCCACAACAGUCCUUUUUCUCCUUGUAUAUGGAAACAGAGAAAGGUUGUCAGUAAAUUCACUUCACUAUGGCUAGGUCACCCCUUAGUCCCCACGUUUGCCUGCAGGAAUUUUUGCUGUUGACUGCAAGUUAGCUGCAGUGUGAACUGUGCACUGAGAAAGGGCUAAGGGACUGAGGAAUAUGGUGGCCUCAAGGAGUGUGGUGGAGGAAGUGUAAGAAGGCAAAUUGCCUUUUUAAAUUCACAGCCCAUUAGAGUCCUGGAAGAACCUCUCAAGUAUUCCUACAAGAGUAAGGCAAGUGGCAGAAGCUCUGAGGCUCAGCUAAUCUUACUACAGCCCCUCUCUCCUGCUUAAAAUACCAAAUUAUUUUGCAGUGCUGAGUGGGUGGUUGCCAGCUGAAACUUCAAAUGGAAUCAAUAACCGAAGCUGAUGUCUGGAAUCCACAAAUAAACCAGGGCUGCUGUGCAUCCAAGGGCAUCCGUGCCACUGAACCCAGCUGAGUCAUGUUACUAGUGGUGGAAAAACCCGAAGCAAACAGAACAGACCUGUGUGUGCACUUGUGAAAGGAGGGCUUGUGUCACCACUGCAUCUGGGGAGACUGCGUACCUUCUUGAGCCCUCAUCCAGUGGCUAAUGGAAGCAGAGGCAGACACCCAAGCUAAACACUGAACGGAACUCAGGAACCCAGUUGUAGAGAAGGAGGAAUGAAGAGCAAAGAGGUUGGGACCAGGCUUGUGAAACCCACAGAAACAGCUGACCUGAACAAGGGGGAGCACAUGGACCCCAGACUGAUGUCUGGGAGGCCUGCAUGGGACUGAUCCAGACCACUGAAUGUGGA